Non-coding RNA from Phoenix dactylifera (date palm), 815 nucleotides. The record is from RefSeq and is a predicted model, not a curated record. Lineage: Eukaryota; Viridiplantae; Streptophyta; Magnoliopsida; Arecales; Arecaceae.
CUCAAAUAUUUUGCUUCUUUGAUAUGGUAUCAGAGCGCCUAUCCUGUUGGUGUCUCUCUUCUCGCAAGGGGGCUUAAGUACGGUUCUCUCUUCACGUGGGGGAUCAGAGGGUGUCAUCUCUAAGAAAGCUUCCCUUCCCCUUUCCAGCCAUCAUCUUCUCCCAUCGCUCCUGUUGCCCUUCUUCAUCGUGUUUGGAGGUUCUAGCAUGGAAGGAAGAGGAAAGCAUCCCAAAUGCUCGACUGCCGCCAUGCGUGAGAUUGAGAAAGGACUUCCUUGAGUUCCUGUGUCCCUGUCCCUAGACACGAGCAAGAGAGAAGAUCUGCCGCUAGAUUCGGUAGAGAGAAGCGCCUGCAACCCUGUCUCCGGAUGCGAGCAAGAGAGAAGAUCCGCCGCUAGAUCCAGCAGAGAGAAGAGGAGACGAGUGCUCCACCGCUGCGUGUCGUUGCCAUCACCGCAUGCCGUUGCUGUGUCCGCUACUGUCGCUCCCGUCGCCAUCUACGGCCAGCCGCGGAGAAGAGAAGAUGAGCGCUCCGAUCCGAGCGCCCUCUUGUUGCCAAGGUGAUCUCUGUUCUAUGAAGGACCUUCAAACAUGGAAGAUGAUUGGGAUAGCUAAGGAAUUGCAAGGCUUGUUUUAUUUCACCCCCGAUAAUUCCACUCCAUUAGUAAGCAAAAUCACCCUCAAAUUCAUUCAGCUUUCAAUAAAAAUUCUGCAUUAUGGCACAUUAGAUUAGGUCAUCUUUCAGCUAUUAGACAAAAUUUGCUACAUACAUUGAAUGAUGAUAUUUCAGUUUAUAAUGAAGGUACAGUUUGUGAAA